This 253-nucleotide ribosomal RNA is filed under the name uncultured bacterium. RNAcentral describes it as "partial 16S ribosomal RNA". It matches the Rfam family "Bacterial small subunit ribosomal RNA", at positions 524 to 776 of the family's 1533-position model. The record is from RNAcentral.
UACGUAGGGUGCAAGCGUUGUCCGGAAUUAUUGGGCGUAAAGAGCUCGUAGGCGGUUUGUCGCGUCUGCUGUGAAAACUCAGGGCUUAACCCUGAGCCUGCAGUGGGUACGGGCAGACUAGAGUGUGGUAGGGGAGAUCGGAAUUCCUGGUGUAGCGGUGGAAUGCGCAGAUAUCAGGAGGAACACCGAUGGCGAAGGCAGGUCACUGGGCCGCAACUGACGCUGAGGAGCGAAAGCGUGGGGAGCAAACAGG